UACAGAGGUCCCAAGCGUUGUUCGGAUUCAUUGGGCGUAAAGGGCGCGUAGGCGGCGGGGUAAGUCUGGUGUGAAAUCUCGGAGCUCAACUCCGAAAUUGCACUGGAUACUGCUCUGCUUGAGGGUUGGAGAGGAGAUCGGAAUUCACGGUGUAGCAGUGAAAUGCGUAGAUAUCGUAAGGAAGACCAGUGGCGAAGGCGGGUCUCUGGACAGUUCCUGACGCUGAGGCACGAAGGUCAGGGGAGCAAACGGG
Molecule: ribosomal RNA, 253 nt
Filed under: uncultured bacterium
Lineage: Bacteria
Description: partial 16S ribosomal RNA
Rfam family: Bacterial small subunit ribosomal RNA
Source: RNAcentral